Molecule: transfer RNA, 72 nt
Filed under: Toxocara canis (dog roundworm)
Lineage: Eukaryota; Metazoa; Nematoda; Chromadorea; Rhabditida; Toxocaridae
Rfam family: tRNA
About the family: Transfer RNA (tRNA) molecules are approximately 80 nucleotides in length. Their secondary structure includes four short double-helical elements and three loops (D, anti-codon, and T loops).
Source: Rfam by way of RNAcentral
GGUGCAGUAGCUCAGUGGUAGAGCUUCCGUCUAGUACGCAGGAGGACCUGGGUUCGAUUCCCGGCUGCUUUC